GUUCCAAAGGUCUGCAUCAGUGUCUUGUAGGCUAUGUGUAUAAGCCAGGAGAUGCUAAAUGUGUUUAUGUUAAUUCACGGUCAAUUACUGUCAAUAACCGUGAGACCGGCAGUUAUUUGCUUGACAAUCACCGGUUGAUGACUGCCACAGCCUUAUCCACGCAUUAACCCUAUCCCUGAUUAACCCUACGAUUUGUUGUUUUAGCCUAGCAUUAGUGUAGCAUUGCAUUUUUUGUCCACCAGUAGUUACUGUAGGUAGUUAGAAUGCAGGUAUUUUCACUACAUUAGUAGUUACAAUGCAGGUAUUUUCACUACAUUAGUAGUUACAAUGCAGUUAUUUUCACUACAUUAGUAGUUACAAUGCAGGUAUUUUCACUACAUUAGUAGUUAGAAUGCAGGUAUUUUCACUACAUUAGUAGUUACAAUGCAGUUAUUUUCACUACAUUAGUAGUUACAAUGCAGGUAUUUUCACUACAUUAGUAGUUAGAAUGCAGGUAUUUUCACUACAUUAGUAGUAACAAUGCAGGUAUUUUCACUACAUUAGUAGUUACAAUACAGGUACUUUCACUACAUUAGUAGUUAGAAUGCAGGUAUGUUCACUACAUUAGUAGUUAGAAUGCAGGUAUUUUCACUACAUUAGUAGUUAGAAUGCAGGUAUGUUCACUACAUUAGUAGUUAGAAUGCAGGUAUUUUCACUACAUUAGUAGUUAGAAUGCAGGUAUUUUCACUACAUUAGUAGUUACAAUGCAGUUAUUUUCACUACAUUAGUAGUUAGAAUGCAGGUAUUUUCACUACAUUAGUAGUUACAAUGCAGGUAUUUUCACUACAUUAGUAGUUACAAUGCAGGUCUAGUUACAAUGUAGAUAUUUUCAUUAAUUAAUAGUUAGAAUGCAGGUUAGAAAGAGACUGUUAUGUCAUGCCUUGUUCAACGUUUACUCAAGGCCUUGCUUUGGUUAAUUUUAAUUUUUUUAUCAUCUAUUUUUUACUUAACACUUAUUUUUCUUAAAACGGCAUUGUUGGUUAA
Molecule: long non-coding RNA, 1023 nt
Organism: Coregonus clupeaformis (lake whitefish)
Lineage: Eukaryota; Metazoa; Chordata; Actinopteri; Salmoniformes; Salmonidae
Exons: 5
Source: RefSeq, a predicted model, not a curated record